GUAGGGGGCAAGCGUUGUCCGGAAUCAUUGGGCGUAAAGCGCGCGUAGGCGGCCCGGUAAGUCCGCUGUAAAAGUCCAGGGCUCAACCCUGGAAAGCCGGUGGAUACUGUCGGGCUAGAGUCCGGAAGAGGCGAGUGGAAUUCCUGGUGUAGCGGUGGAAUGCGCAGAUAUCAGGAGGAACACCGAUGGCGAAGGCAGCUCGCUGGGACGGUACUGACGCUGAGGCGCGAAAGCGUGGGGAGCGAACAGGAUUAGAUACCCUGGUAGUCCACGCCGUAAACGAUGGGCACUAGGUGUGGGAGGUGUCGACUCCUUCCGUGCCGUCGCUAACGCAUUAAGUGCCCCGCCUGGGGAGUACGGCCGCAAGGCUAAA
Molecule: ribosomal RNA, 373 nt
Filed under: uncultured bacterium
Lineage: Bacteria
Description: bacterial SSU rRNA
Rfam family: Bacterial small subunit ribosomal RNA
Source: RNAcentral